RNAcentral lists this long non-coding RNA (909 nucleotides) under Nicotiana benthamiana. Its description in RNAcentral is "long non-coding RNA (NBEN_LNC023137)". Lineage: Eukaryota; Viridiplantae; Streptophyta; Magnoliopsida; Solanales; Solanaceae. The record is from RNAcentral.
AGGUGAAAAUACUAUGACCUACUACUCAGUAGAAUUUUUCCAACACUUCAAUAAAUCACUGAGCCAAAACAGUAUUUACAAAACUCUUUGUAAACCUAAGAAUUACCUCUAAUUGGCAACCAACCUCUAGCUGUUGCAACAACCCAAGUUAACUCUAACUUGAAUACAACAUCCAGAGUACCUAAUACAAUUGCUUCUAGAUAAAGCUGAAAGGUACAACUUGAAAGCCCUACUACAAUGAAACUAGAAUAAAAGACAGACACUUGGGAUUUGUUCUUCUAUCUGGUUCAUGUAGUUUCAGGUUUCCAGUGUUGAAUCACGUACGAAUUUUUUGCAAAACGCCUUACUAUUUUGCUCCCAACUCACGUUUAACUUCAGCAUUUGUGCUUCCUUGUAAAAUGAGAACAUCCUGAAAUAUAUAAAGUUAGUAGAAUAGGAAAUAAGUAGCGUUCCAAUAUUAUACUCUUCCUUGGUGAAAGAGUUCUAGUUAUCUUCAACUCCUAACUCCUCCCUUAUCUUGGAUAGAGUUCUUUUCGAGCAAGGAUUCCUUCUUCUUAUCACUUGUGCAAUGUUUUCAUUCAGGAGAUAUCACACAUAACAACUUAAGCUUAUCUCCUUCACGUACACCCCUUAUGCUCGAAUAUGCCCGUAUCUGUGUACGUUAUAUGUGGACCUGGUUCAUGCUUGAGUUCCUUUGUCAAUCAUCAAAACAAGCUUUACUUAGUCCAACAACCACCAUAUUGGCUACUACAAAGGCUCAGGGAUGCAAUCAGUGGUGAGCCACCAAACUUACUAGCAGGAUCAUGCGAGGGAAGAAGUUGGAAAAUGAGGUGUGGGUAUAAAAUUAAUGAUUGUUGAAACUGAGCCAUAAUGAAAAGCAUGGAGUAGUAUUGAGGCGGGCUAGACGGG